This 335-nucleotide ribosomal RNA is filed under the name uncultured soil bacterium. Its description in RNAcentral is "bacterial SSU rRNA". It matches the Rfam family "Bacterial small subunit ribosomal RNA", at positions 26 to 391 of the family's 1533-position model. The record is from RNAcentral.
AGAGCGAACGCUGGCGGCAGGCCUAAUACAUGCAAGUCGAGCGGUCCCUUCGGGGGCAGCGGCGGACGGGUGAGUAACGCGUGGGAACGUGCCCUUUGGUACGGAACAACUGAGGGAAACUUCAGCUAAUACCGUAUGUGCCCUUCGGGGGAAAGAUUUAUCGCCAUUGGAGCGGCCCGCGUUGGAUUAGGUAGUUGGUGAGGUAAAGGCUCACCAAGGCGACGAUCUGUAGCUGGUUUGAGAGGACGACCAGCCACACUGGGACUGAGACACGGCCCAGACUCCUACGGAGGCAGCAGUGGGGAAUUUGGACAAGUGGGGAAACCCUGAUCCAG